CUAGGAAUCGCCCCAUGGGGAGGGGGUGCGAUUGCCCCCAGCCCAGCUGAGAGGAGAGCCAGGGGCAUUAACACGUGUCCUGAAACCCGGGGCUACUUGCACCCCCAGCCCCUACGCGCUGCAGGGUCACUGGAUCUGGGCUUCAACUGGAGUAUUGUGUCCUGUUCUGGGCGCCACAUUUCAGGAUGGAUGUGGAUAAAUUGGAGAGAGUCCAGAGGAGAGCAACAAAAAUGAUUAAAGGUCUAGAAAACAACUGAAAAAACUGAGUUUUUCUGGAGAAGAGAAGACUGAAGGGAACCAUGACAACUGUCUUCAAGUAUGUAAGAGGUUGUUACAAAGAGAAGGGUGACAAAUUGUUCUCCUUAUACACGAAGGACAUGACAAGACUAAUGGGCUUACAUUGCAGCAAGGGAGACUUAGGUGAGAUAUUAGGAAAAACAUCCUGUCAGGGUAGUUAAGCACUGGAACAGGUUACCAAGGGAGAGUGUGGAAUCUCCGUCAUUGGAGAUUUUUCAGAAUAGGCUGGACACACACCUGUCUGGAACGGUCUAGAUAAUACUUGAAAGUGCCUCAGUGCACGGGACUGGAUGAGCUAUCAAGUCCUACAUUUUUAUGAUUCUAUCCCCAGCUCUGGGAGGGGAAUGAGGUUUAGUCAGCUGGGAGGAAGUCAAGAGUCCCAGGUUCUAUCUAUGGCUCUGGGAGGGGAGUGGGGCCUAGUGGAUUGGGGGCUGGGACUCAACUCCGGGGUUCUCUGCCCCAGUUCUGAGAGGGGAGCAGGGCCACAUGAAUGGAGCAGCACCAGCCCAAGGACAGGGUCUCCACCCCAACCCCUCUCAGCCAUCAUGGCAGCGAAGAGGGUGAUGGGAUGCAGCAUUCCCCUUAAAUUUCACUGGCGGGAUGAAGGCUCUGGGGUCAUGGGACAACCCUUCCAUCUUAGCAGCUCUUAACUCUCCAGUGCUGGGUGACAGGUUAGAAAAGGAGACACCCCUUUCCCAUUCCCCCGGAGUAUGAAAGCCAUGAGCUGCCGCCUGGCAGUGCCCUGGCUGACCACACGCAAAAAUUUUGCCAAUAUUUUAAAAGGGUAACCAGGAUGACCUGGAUAAUCAUAGGCCUGUCAGCCCGACCUCAAUCCCACUGAAGAUAAUAGAUCAGCUGUUGGGGGACUCCAUUAAUAAAGGAAAGCACUGUAAUUAAUAUCAAGCAGCAUGGGUUUAUGAACAAUAGAUCCAGUCAAACUUUCGUAACUUUGGAUGAGAUGACAAGUGUGACUGACACAGGCAAUAGUGUUGAUAUAUUUAGACUUCGGUAAGGCCUUUGACUUGGUACCACAUGAUAUCCUGAUUAAAAAACUAGAACGCUAUAAAAUUAACAUGACCCACCUUGAAGGGAUUAAAAGCCAGCUAACUGGUAAGUCUCACAAUGUAACAGUAAAUGGGGAAACACCAUUGAAUGGAUGUGUUUCCACUGGGUCCCGCAGGGAUCAGUUUGUGGCCCUACAUUAUUUAACAUUUUUGUCAGUGACCUGGAAGAAAACAAAAUCAUCACUGAUGAAGUUUGCGGAUGACACAAAAAUUGAGUGGGAAAUAAUAAAGAGGACAGGUCACUGACAGAGCGACUGGGUCGGCUGGUAAAUUGGACACAAUGUGUGUUUUAAUACAGCCAAGUGUAAAUGUAUAGGAACAAAGGACGGGGGCCGCGCUUACACAAUGGGGGACUCUAUCCUAGGAAGCAGGGACUGAGAAAGUUUUGGGGAUCUUGGUGAAUAAUCAGCUGAACGGGAGCUCCCAGGAUGACGCUGUGGCCAAAGGGCUAAUGCAAUCUUUGGGGGCGUAAACAAGGGAAUCGCGAGUAGGCGCAGAGAGGUUAUUUAACCUCUGUAUUUGGCUCUGGUGCAACUGCUGCUGGAAUCCUGUGGCCAGUUCUGGUGCCCAGAAUUAAAGAAGGAUGUUGAGAAAUGGGAGAUGGGUGAGAGAAGAGCCACGAGAAUGAUUAAAGGAUUAGAAAACCUGCCUCCUAGCGACAGACUCAAGAGCUCGGUCUAUUUCACUUAAGAGAAGGGUAAGGGGUGGACUUGAUCCCAGUCUGUAAGUACCUCCACACGGGGAACAAAUAUUUAAUCAUGAGUUUUUCACUCUACCAGAGGAAGAUCUAACACUGUCCAAUGGCUGGAAGUUGAAGCUCAACAAACUCAGAGUGGAAUAAAGGUGUGCAUUUUAAACAUAUCUCGUCAGCGUCGGCGUACACCUCCACCUUCUUCUGCUUCUCCAGCUUGCGCCGCAGCCGGGAGAUGUCCUCCUGGGGUGCAGGGAAGAUCCAGUCAGCAAGAGGGCCCAGGCCCUCCACUGCCCCUCCCCGCAGUAUGACCCACAGGCUCCUGCCCCCUACCUGGGCCCUCUUGAGGUUGAAGGACUCCUUCUCCUUGGCAGCGCGGUUCUCGGCCAUGCAGGCCUGGAUCUCCUUCAGCUUGCACUGAACGUGCUCCUGCUGCACCUUCAGGUCCUCGGCCAGCUGAGCCGCUUCCACCGCCUGUGGGAGGAGGGAAUGUCAAUCAUUGUGAGCUUCCCCCUGAGCAGUGCCUGAGAACUGAUACAUACAAAUGAUGUAAUGGAAACAAACAAAGGAAACUGAUUCUCUUUUACACAAAGGCCAUUUUACAUCAUUCAGUGUAAAAUGGGUGUCAAAUUAAAUUACAUUAAAAGUGGUGUAAGUUAAAUUA
Molecule: non-coding RNA, 2716 nt
Organism: Chrysemys picta bellii (western painted turtle)
Lineage: Eukaryota; Metazoa; Chordata; Testudines; Emydidae
Source: RefSeq, a predicted model, not a curated record